GGCGCUGUGGCUUAGUUGGUUAAAGCUUCUGUCUAGUAAACAGGAGAUCCUGGGUCCAAAUCCCAGCAGUGCCU
Molecule: transfer RNA, 74 nt
Filed under: Oryzias latipes (Japanese medaka)
Lineage: Eukaryota; Metazoa; Chordata; Actinopteri; Beloniformes; Adrianichthyidae
Description: tRNA-Thr (AGT) (tRNA-Thr-AGT-39-1)
Rfam family: tRNA
About the family: Transfer RNA (tRNA) molecules are approximately 80 nucleotides in length. Their secondary structure includes four short double-helical elements and three loops (D, anti-codon, and T loops). Further hydrogen bonds mediate the characteristic L-shaped molecular structure. tRNAs have two regions of fundamental functional importance: the anti-codon, which is responsible for specific mRNA codon recognition, and the 3' end, to which the tRNAs corresponding amino acid is attached (by aminoacyl-tRNA synthetases). tRNAs cope with the degeneracy of the genetic code in two manners: having more than one tRNA (with a specific anti-codon) for a particular amino acid; and 'wobble' base-pairing, i.e. permitting non-standard base-pairing at the 3rd anti-codon position.
Source: Rfam by way of RNAcentral